CCACACCUAAAAACUUUCCACGUGAACUGUAGUGACAAGAUUAGCGCCGUGACGCGUGCUGCUGGUGCACUUUUGUGUGUUGGCGUGCGCGCGGGCUCGGCUGAUCGAAGGCUGUGCUUUCUGCUGCGAGUGUGUGUGUGCUUUUCGGAGCGCGCGCUGCUUUGCGGCGGAGUGUGGCUGACUUACUCUUUCAAACCCCUUACCAAAUUACUGAUGUAUACUGUGAGGACGAAAGUCUUUGCUUUUAAACUAGAUAACAACUUUCAGCAGUGGAUGUCUAGGCUCGCACAUCGAUGAAGAACGCUGCGAACUGCGAUACGUAAUGCGAAUUGCAGAAUUCAGUGAGUCAUCGAAAUUUUGAACGCAUAUUGCACUUUCGGGUUAUGCCUGGAAGUAUGUCUGUAUCAGUGUCCGUACAUCAACCUUGCCUCUCUUCGUCGGUGUAGUCCGGUUAGGAGACGAGCAGAUCUGAAGCGUCUCGCGUUGUUGCUGUGCAACGGUGCGAGUCCUUUUGAAACGACACGACUCUUCUAUUUGCCUUUAGCAACUCGCUUUGGUUUGAACGCAUCGGUCUUGUACUCGUUUGCAGUCUCCGGCGACCUUGGCUUUGGACAUUAUGGAGGGCACCUCACUUCGCGGUAUGUUAGGCUCUUUGUGGCUGAACAAUGUUGCGUUUGUGGGCGUGUGUAUUUCCGUCUUUGGCUUUGAGGUGUACUGUGAGGUUGUGGGCUUGAGUGCUUGUGCUGCGUGUUAGUAGCUCGGAGGCGUUGUGUUUGCUUUAGGAUUCUGCGCGUGCAUUCGCGUGGGUGGAAGUGGUUCCAUUUGGGAAAUACUGUACUGCGCCUCUGUUUUGGGUGGCGUGUGUAUCUCAAUUGGGACCUGAUAUCAGACAAGACUACCCCGCUGAACUUAA
This 913-nucleotide ribosomal RNA is filed under the name Globisporangium lacustre. RNAcentral's name for it is "eukaryotic LSU rRNA". The stretch from base 259 to 413 matches the Rfam family "5.8S ribosomal RNA". The record is from RNAcentral. Lineage: Eukaryota; Oomycota; Peronosporomycetes; Pythiales; Pythiaceae.